Molecule: ribosomal RNA, 400 nt
Filed under: uncultured bacterium
Lineage: Bacteria
Description: partial 16S ribosomal RNA
Rfam family: Bacterial small subunit ribosomal RNA
Source: RNAcentral
UGGGGAAUUUUGGACAAUGGGGGAAACCCUGAUCCAGCCAUCCCGCGUGUGCGAUGAAGGCCUUCGGGUUGUAAAGCACUUUUUGGCAGGAAAGAAACGUCGCGGGUUAAUACCCCGCGAAACUGACGGUACCUGCAGAAUAAGCACCGGCUAACUACGUGCCAGCAGCCGCGGUAAUACGUAGGGUGCAAGCGUUAAUCGGAAUUACUGGGCGUAAAGCGUGCGCAGGCGGUUCGGAAAGAAAGAUGUGAAAUCCCAGAGCUUAACUUUGGAACUGCAUUUUUAACUACCGGGCUAGAGUGUGUCAGAGGGAGGUGGAAUUCCGCGUGUAGCAGUGAAAUGCGUAGAUAUGCGGAGGAACACCGAUGGCGAAGGCAGCCUCUGGGAUAACACUGACGCU